This 379-nucleotide ribosomal RNA is filed under the name uncultured Pseudomonas sp. RNAcentral describes it as "bacterial SSU rRNA". It matches the Rfam family "Bacterial small subunit ribosomal RNA", at positions 1007 to 1382 of the family's 1533-position model. Lineage: Bacteria; Pseudomonadati; Pseudomonadota; Gammaproteobacteria; Pseudomonadales; Pseudomonadaceae. The record is from RNAcentral.
UGGAUUGGUGCCGUUCGGGAACUCUGACACAGGUGCUGCAGUGGCUGUCGUCAGCUCGUGUCGUGAGAUGUUGGGUUAACGUCCCGUAACGAGCGCAACCCUUGUCCUUAGUUACCAGCACGUUAUGGUGGGCACUCUAAGGAGACUGCCGGUGACAAACCGGAGGAAGGUGGGGAUGACGUCAAGUCAUCAUGGCCCUUACGGCCUGGGCUACACACGUGCUACAAUGGUCGGUACAAAGGGUUGCCAAGCCGCGAGGUGGAGCUAAUCCCAUAAAACCGAUCGUAGUCCGGAUCGCAGUCUGCAACUCGACUGCGUGAAGUCGGAAUCGCUAGUAAUCGUGAAUCAGAAUGUCACGGUGAAUACGUUCCCGGGCCUU